Molecule: long non-coding RNA, 557 nt
Organism: Arvicola amphibius (Eurasian water vole)
Lineage: Eukaryota; Metazoa; Chordata; Mammalia; Rodentia; Cricetidae
Exons: 2
Source: RefSeq, a predicted model, not a curated record
UGUGCCAGCACACUCAGUUUAUAAUAGCUAGCCUUAACUGACUCACACUGGCCAGGCACUGUGCUAGGAUGGUUCUUUCUUCAGUGCUGGGAAUGGAACCUAAGUCUUCAGAUGUGCCAUGAAAACGUUCUACCACUGAACUGGAACUCUCCAGCCCAAGAGCAAAGUUCCUUCUACCUGCUGAUGAAAACAACCCCAUGGAGAAUAUCUUACCUGAAACUACCAUAGACUAUCAGAAGAAUGGAAAUCAGAAAUGUCGACACUUGACUGGAAUCCACCAGGGAAUAGGCCCUAGAGAAAUAAAGAGGACAAAUAUUAACUCACAGGCUGCAGGUGCUCAAGGAGUUCACAGUCCCUGCAUUUACUAAAUGAGAUGUACGUUAGCAUUAGCAACACAAACCAUUAAAACAAAAUAUGCUAACUUACCACACGGGACACAAAGAGAGCUUCAUAGCAUUGUUAUGGUGUAAAAACUUCAUCUCUGUAUGAUGAUACAUAACGUUUGUAACAUCCACUACCAACUUAAACCUAUUCCAAUAAAAAAAAAAAUCUCAGCA